GAACCCAAGACAACCCCUGCUGAUUCCUCACAGCUGACUUGUGACAUGCCUAGUAUUUCCCAUCAUUAUCUUAAACAAUGACCUCCUGAAAAUACAUCUGACGAAGAGAGCUGGGGACACAGAUACAGCAGACCUGGUCAUUCUUUUAAUGGAAGGGUGACCCUCAAUAAAGACACGGGAAUGGCAGCUGUGCCAGCGCCAGUAGACCUGGAUGAUGCGGACAGCGUUGAGCAAACGACAGUAACGCUGGCGGACACGCCACAUGCGGACCCAGGACUGCAGCCUGACUGCUGCCCAUUCCUGCUGCACAUAGAACUCCAACACCAUCCUCCGCCUCUUUGCCAGCAGCUUCUCCAGCAUCUGCCUCCACCAGCACUGAAUGAUCCAAGCCCUGAGGGCUGCAUGCAGCAGUGUGCGUCGCACCAGCAUGCCCCGCCACCAGGCCUGGAUGAAAACAGCUGCAGACCUUUCUGUCAUGAUGGUCUUCUCUUCUGGGCCUUACAAGAGAAAACAGACACACUCAGGGUAUGCCAGGAAGGGGCCCUGAUCCUCUAUCAAUGAUGGCUCCUUCCUCUAAAGUUCAGCACUGGGCAGGGCAACAGCUGAACCCAGGAGACCAGGUGUACAUCUGCCCUAGCUACCUCACCCCAUUUUCCAUGGACCUUGCUGGCCAGUCUAGAGCAAGAACACUGUGACUUAGAGGUAAAAGAGCUGCCAUCUACCUGGGAUUCAUGACUCUUCCCUUCAGAGCCCUCCCACCUGCUGGAGAAGUGGUGUCCUUUGCUCCUCCUGCUCUCUUUACUCUGACUUCAAGUCAAACCCACAAGCUGCUGUGUUCUCUCCUCUUCACCAAAGUGGUAACAGAUUCCUCCACCUCACACACAUUGUGAACAGCUUGAACUUCAGCUAUGCAUGCAUCUGUACAAACAUGCACACUCCACACACUAACACACAUUUUGCCCCUUGGUCCCUGCAUUCCCCACAGUCCCCACUUGCAGCCCCCAGCCCUAUGUGGUCUGGGAUCACACUCCUCUGCCCCACUCCUGGCCACAAUCUCCACUCUGUAUCUCAGCCAGACUCACAUCUCUCUGCCUGACAAGAAAAUGGGGGCAAGAGACAGCCAAUCCCCAUUCAUUCCAGCUCUGCAUACCCUGACAUUUCACCCCAGUUUUUCUGGGACACCCUGAUUGAUGUCAGGUAAUGAGGACAGGUGCCUGUUUCCCUCACUGAAGCCACUCUUUGUACAAUAAAUUACAGCAUCAUAGAUCUUUGAGUCACUCUGCUGGACCACAGGGGUCAGAGAUGUCACUAGUUAAGGCUCUCUGGACCCAGCCACUCAUGGAGUUAUGGGUAAGGGUGUGGCCUGGUAGGGGUGAGGGUGUUGGAGGUGGAGUCGCUUCCCUCUUCUCCCAUUUGUUCCUUCCAGCUCUGUUCUAUCGAUGUGAUUUCAUCAUUAUCUUUGAUGAUCAUUUAAAACAGCUUGCCAUCCUUCUGGAAUCAGAGUGUUUGGGGGGAAAUAGGGAAGAAAGUGAAAGGUGCUCUCCCACUGCUAGGUGCCAAGUCAAACACCAUUCUCACUGUUUCUAGACAGCUUCCUGGCUUUCUCUAGGACUUCAAACAUGGAGGCGGGGGUCCUGUCAUGAGUAACUGUGGGGAACUUACUCUCCCCUCUCAGAAAGCUAGUGUGCUUCUGACUACCUCUUACAAAACAUCUGACUGGGGACAGGUCAUAAAAUCUCCACAGGUCUGGACUUUACUAAAUUACCCAUGAUUAGGGGCUAGAUGGUUCCAUCACCCUCCGGCCCGCACUCCUCCGAUCAGGACUCCAAUAGGAAGAGUGGAGGAAGGGCGGGACCUGUGAUGUCACAAGGGCACCUGUGAUGCAGGCACCAGGACAGCUUCCAGCAUAUGAGCCUCUUCUAAGGAAAACCUAGAAGACCCCAAGUACUGACCCAUUGACACAAAGGUAUAUAAUGCUGCUCAUUAAAAUCUGGCUGGUAUUCAU
RNAcentral lists this non-coding RNA (2005 nucleotides) under Pongo abelii (Sumatran orangutan). Lineage: Eukaryota; Metazoa; Chordata; Mammalia; Primates; Hominidae. The record is from RNAcentral.